GAUGAACGCUGGCGGCGUGCUUAACACAUGCAAGUCGAGCGAGAAGUUUUGAAAAGAUUCUUCGGAUGAAAUUUAAAAUGGAAAGCGGCGGACGGGUGAGUAACGCGUAGGCAACCUGCCCCAUACAAAGGGAUAGCAUUUGGAAACGAAUAUUAAUACCUUAUGAAACUUAACUAGUGCAUGCUAGGUAGGUCAAAGAUUUAUCGGUAUGGGAUGGGCCUGCGUCUGAUUAGCUAGUUGGUGAGGUAACGGCUCACCAAGGCGACGAUCUGUAGCCGACCUGAGAGGGUGAACGGCCACAUUGGAACUGAGACACGGUCCAAACUCCUACGGGAGGCAGCAGUGGGGAAUAUUGCACAAUGGGGGAAACCCUGAUGCAGCAACGCCGCGUGAACGAUGAAGGCCUUUGGGUCGUAAAGUUCUGUUCUAGGUGAUGAAAACUGACAGUAACCUAGGAGAAAGCCCCGGCUAACUCCGUG
This 479-nucleotide ribosomal RNA is filed under the name uncultured bacterium. Its description in RNAcentral is "partial 16S ribosomal RNA". It matches the Rfam family "Bacterial small subunit ribosomal RNA", at positions 28 to 507 of the family's 1533-position model. The record is from RNAcentral.